Molecule: long non-coding RNA, 3578 nt
Organism: Felis catus (domestic cat)
Lineage: Eukaryota; Metazoa; Chordata; Mammalia; Carnivora; Felidae
Exons: 3
Source: RefSeq, a predicted model, not a curated record
CGGAACCUGGAGCGGGGAGCGAGGCCCGGCCGGCCCGGACUGAGCACUACGGCACCUGGGGCCCACCUGCCUCCGCCGCCUUCCCGCCCCGCGCAGCCCCCUCCCACGCCUCCGUCCGCUCACCCGUUGACCAGGUCGUGGCACCGGCCCCCGUGCGCGCACGGCUGGCUCUGGCACUCGUCCAGGUCCAGCUGGCAGCUCGCGCCCCCGUAGCCCGGCGCGCACACGCAGCGGUCACCCUGGACAGGGCCGAAGACACAGACAGACGGAUGGACUCCCAGAGGGAGGUCGAAAGAGGCCCAGGCAGGCCGCCCUGAAACCAGCUCCAGACAGUUACAAGGAGCGGAAACUUGAGGCUCCGGAGAGAAGCCGUUGGUCCGUUCAUCUAGAGCAGGGUGAAGGGGAGCAACCCACUCGAGUUCACAUCACUGUCAGAGGCAACACCAAUCACCAAUGCCAGCCAGAACUGCUGUCCUCAGCUGGGGAUGGAAAUGGGCCAGAGCUCCCCAAGUCAGAGCGGCUCUUGAACUAGGACAGUGCAAGUGACCUUGACGAGACCCCCUGACUCUUCCUAAAAGAACCUGGGGUGAGGGGAAGAUCCCUUGAGCCACCUCCUGCAUCCUCUGGGACCCCCAGGCAUGGGGAAGAUAGCAUUCCAGGUGGGGCGGGGCGGGGUGGGGGGGGGAGCCUCUGUCCAUAGGCAAAGGCCUGGAGGCAGGGAAAGGCUGGCAGGUUUAAGAAAUGGGGCAGAGGGCAAGUUGGCUGGAGUACAGGCAGCAGGGAAGUGGCCCAGAGGCUGCUGGGAGAAUGGGGGCACCAUUAGGGAGUCCAGAUGCUGCCUGAGAGCAAGGGUGGGGGGGCUUCAGCAGGCCUCUUGCGAGGCAGUGCCGGGAGAGCUCAAUGCCAGAACAGCCUGGCAUCUGCAAAGGAUCACUCCAGCUGCAGAGAGGGGAGUGGCAGAACAGUUCUUGGAAAAGUGGCCUCUCUACUUGAGUCUAAAUGGUACAAUCCCUUAAAGUUUUAUGAAAACAAAAAAUGAAUAACGAAUGGAGAUCCUGAAAGAGGAAAUCCAUUUCCUUUUAAAUCUGAUGGAAAGAGCACAUCCACCCCAAAAUAAUACCAGCAGGAUUUUAAUAAUCUGUAGCAAAACACGCAAUGCCAUCAGAACUCACUCCAAGCUGCCUCCUUAGCUGAACCAAGAACCCUGAACCUGAAGUCUGUUUCGACAACAUGGUGCUCAUUGCCCACAUGGAGAAAUUGAGGCUUGGGUGGGGUCAGGGACUAACCCAAGGUCAUAUGGCAAAGUUGGAACUGGAACAAAGACUCCUGACUCUCAAGUUUGGGUCUCCUCUCUCUGUACAAGGCUGCUUGUCUGCACACAUUUCACACACACACACACACACACACACCUCACACCGCUGCACAACACACAGGAAAUGCUUUCCAAACUCAUAUAUGCAAGGGCGCCUGGGUGGCCCAGUUGGUUCAGCGUCUGACUUUGGCUCAGGUCAUGCUGUCUCGGUUGGUGGGUUCGAACCCCGUUUCAGGCUCCGUGCUGACAGCUCAGAGCCUAGAGCUUGCUUUGGAUUCUGUGUCUCCCUCUCUCUCUGCCCUUUCCCCACAUGUGCUCUGUCUCCUUCUCAAAAAUAAUAAAAUUGAAAGAAAACUCAUACGUGCAAAUAUCUGCAUACAUAUGAGAUCCACAAACUCACAGAUAUGCUCACAUAGAAGUAUGCGGACAUCCACACAGUUUCCCCCCCCCCCCCCCCAGAAAACCUAAACACCUAAACAGACAUACUCACAUUCACACACACAGGGGCUUGUGCACACAACUAUCUGAUCAGUCCAAAUCUGAAUCCUCGAAUGUAUCCAGGUACCUACACAGGGCACACAUGCAUAUAUCUACAGAAAGACAUAAGAUGCAAAAACAUCCCUCGGGGGCCCCUGGGUGGCUGGCUGUUGAGCGUCUGACUCUUGAUUUCAGCUCAGGUCAUGAUCCCAGGGUUGUGGGAUCAAGCCCCGCGUCAGGCUCCACCCACCUAAGAUUCUCUCUCUCCCUCUGCCCCACUUCCCUGCCCCCACCUCCCUGCUCACACGUGCGUUUUUUUUUCUAAAAUUAAAAAGUAAAAACCCACCAACACAUCCCUCAGUACACGUCUACAAACACAGCACUCACGCAUCAACAGACCCAGAGACUCCUAAAACUUUCACAGACAUGCUCACACAUACAGCAUACCUCUCACCCCGUGAGACCCACAGGCCAACACUCUGGCCUAAACAGCCAUAUCCUCUUGUUCACCCCCAGGCUGUGCUGGCACCAAGGUCAGCGUGGAGUGUCCCAGAGACCCUGUCAUGCCUCUGCAAGGGCCUGGGAAUCUGAGACGGACAGGGGCCUGUAAGAGGCCAAGGACACCACGCCCUCUGGAAAGAGCUGGCAGUGAUUCAGAGCAACUGCCCAGGCAGCUGGGGGCCGGGAGCUCAGCCCCCACAUUCUCCCCACCCAACAGGAGUAAGUGGGUGGGUGUUCCUUAAUGGGGGGGGGGGCACAGGGGCAGAGUAAAGAUGGAGGAGUUCAGCUACUAUGUGGGUUUAGGAUUCCUUCUUUCAUUCAUUCAUUGAUACUUAACAUUUUCUGAAUCAGGCAAAACGAAGACAAAUAGACAAAGCCUCUGCCCCCAGGAGUGCAGUCUAAGGGGUGAGCAGGCACACCCAGAGCUGUGCUGUUGUUUUACACAUUGUGACAAUGUCUACGAGGCCUCCAGAGAUCUGGGUUGCAUCUGAGGCCUUGGGCCACUGAGCAAUUCACAUUCUUCUCUGAGCCUCGGUUUCCUCAUCUGAGAAAUAGGGACCACAGUCUCCCUGACCACCUGCCGGGUUUGUUGCUAGAAUCAAAUUUGAUGAUGGAUGUGGCAGCGCUUUGGGGGGAAUGGGAAAGUUUUAGUAAAAUAAGACAUUGAUUAGGCACCAGCUGUGUGCCAGAUCUAUGGUAUAGGACUGUGGGUAGGUGCAUGGGCCCUGGAGUCAGAGAAACCCAGCUGGGUUCUAAUCUCUGCUUUGCCGGGACUAGCUGUGUGAGCUUGAGCAGGUUCCUUAACCUCUCUGAGGUUCUACUUUCUCAUCCAUAAGUGUUGUGUAAUAAUAAUACUCACUUUAUAUGAAUGCAGUGGGAUAGUGCACCUAAAAGCAUGGGGCCUGCCACAAAGCAGAUGUGCAAGUAAGUCAGUUCCUAUAUUUAUGUAUAAGCUUUCUCUUAUUCAUUCACCAAACUCUUGCUGAGCAGUUACCGUGAACCAGGCAUGAUUCUAAGGGCUCUCCAAAUUCUGACUCAUUUAAUCCUUCUAGCAACUCUACUAUUAUCCCUGUUUUACAGCCAAGGAAACUGAGGCCCAGAGAGGUCCCGGUCACUUAUUUGAGGUCACACAGCUGCUAGAAGUCAGAGAUGGAAUUGGAACCCAGGUCUGUCGGUGUCCUUAAGCCCAUCUAUAAGACAUGCAUUUCCCUCUUAGGGCUCAAAGUCCUCCCCUCUCCCAAGCAGCAAGCAACCCCUAUUAAAUAAAUCAUCCAGUAACGGUUUCUAA